Molecule: ribosomal RNA, 468 nt
Filed under: uncultured bacterium
Lineage: Bacteria
Description: partial 16S ribosomal RNA
Rfam family: Bacterial small subunit ribosomal RNA
Source: RNAcentral
GAUGAACGCUGGCGGCGUGCCUAACACAUGCAAGUCGAACGGAAAGGCCCUGCUUUUGCGCGGUUCUCGAGUGGCGAACGGGUGUGUAACACGUGAGUAUCCUGCCCUUGACUGUGUGAUAUCUUCAGGAAACUGCGGCUAAUACCGGAUAGGAGCUCCUGCUGCAUGGUGGUGGUUGGAAAGAUUCGGCGGUUGUGGAUGGACUCGCGGCUUAUCAGCUUGUUGGUGGGGUAGUUGCUUACCAAGCCUUCGACGGGUAGCCUGCAUGGGAGGGUGGACGGGGACAAUAGGCCUGAGGGAGGGAGCAGUCGGGUACGGGAGGCAGCGGGCGAAAGCAUUACACAGCGAGGGGGAGCGUGAUACGGAGGUGCUGGGAGCGUGAAGACGUCCUUCGGGGGGUGAACCGCUGUCGCAUGAGACGUAGCGUGAGUGACGGUAACGAGUAAAGAAGCACCGGCUAACUACGUG